CCUACGGGAGGCAGCAGUGAGGAAUAUUGGACAAUGGGCGCAAGCCUGAUCCAGCCAUGCCGCGUGCAGGAAGACGCAUCUAUGGUGUGUAAACUGCUUUUGUACAGGAAGAAACACUCCCUCGUGAGGGAGCUUGACGGUACUGUAAGAAUAAGGAUCGGCUAACUCCGUGCCAGCAGCCGCGGUAAUACGGAGGAUCCAAGCGUUAUCCGGAAUCAUUGGGUUUAAAGGGUCCGUAGGCGGUUUAAUAAGUCAGUGGUGAAAUCUGGUCGCUCAACGAUCAAACGGCCAUUGAUACUGUUAGACUUGAAUUAUAAGGAAGUAACUAGAAUAUGUAGUGUAGCGGUGAAAUGCUUAGAUAUUACAUGGAAUACCAAUUGCGAAGGCAGGUUACUACUUAUGGAUUGACGCUGAUGGACGAAAGCGUGGGGAGCGAACAGGAUUAGAUACCCUGGUAGUCCACGCCGUAAACGAUGGAUACUAGCUGUUGGGCGCAAGUUCAGUGGCUAAGCGAAAGUGAUAAGUAUCCACCUGGGGAAGUACGUUCGCAAGAAUUGAAACUCAAAGGAUUGAGGCGNGNGNGNGCGAGNGNGNGAGGAGGAG
Molecule: ribosomal RNA, 603 nt
Filed under: uncultured bacterium
Lineage: Bacteria
Description: bacterial SSU rRNA
Rfam family: Bacterial small subunit ribosomal RNA
Source: RNAcentral